Molecule: RNase P RNA, 339 nt
Filed under: Candidatus Woesearchaeota archaeon
Lineage: Archaea; Nanobdellati; Candidatus Woesearchaeota
Description: RNase P RNA component
Rfam family: Archaeal RNase P
About the family: Ribonuclease P (RNase P) is a ubiquitous endoribonuclease, found in archaea, bacteria and eukarya as well as chloroplasts and mitochondria. Its best characterised activity is the generation of mature 5'-ends of tRNAs by cleaving the 5'-leader elements of precursor-tRNAs.
Source: RNAcentral
GGGGCAGGAGCUUGACUCCGGCGGUUUUUUCGCUGAGGAAAGUCCACCCACCGACGCGAGCCUUGUGCAAAGGCGAGCUGAAACAUGGCCACUCCUGUCAGGGAGUUCCUGAAAGGGAAGGCAACCGCUCAGAAACGGCACGGCCCAUGGGUUAGGAUGAUGCUGAGAAUCCCUCCGCGAGGAUAUGGGAGAGUUAACCUGCAGACAUUUCCCCUGGGAUACGGUGAAACGGCGAGUCCUGGCCGGUGCAAGUCUUUGACGCUUAGUCGAAUGUUGAGGCGUGCCAUCGGCAGCCUGUGCUGCCAUCGGGCAUGACAGAAGGUGGCUUAUUCUUGCCCC